This 250-nucleotide ribosomal RNA is filed under the name uncultured bacterium. RNAcentral describes it as "partial 16S ribosomal RNA". It matches the Rfam family "Bacterial small subunit ribosomal RNA", at positions 355 to 622 of the family's 1533-position model. The record is from RNAcentral.
UGGGGAAUAUUGGACAAUGGGGGAAACCCUGAUCCAGCCAUGCCGCGUGAGUGAUGAAGGCCUUAGGGUUGUAAAGCUCUUUUGUCAGGGAAGAUGAUGACGGUACCUGAAGAAUAAGCACCGGCUAACUUCGUGCCAGCAGCCGCGGUAAUACGAAGGGUGCUAGCGUUGUUCGGAAUUACUGGGCGUAAAGCGCGCGUAGGCGGCUUAUCAAGUCGGGGGUGAAAUCCUGGGGCUCAACCCUAGAAUU